Molecule: long non-coding RNA, 2572 nt
Filed under: Homo sapiens (human)
Lineage: Eukaryota; Metazoa; Chordata; Mammalia; Primates; Hominidae
Description: HSALNT0390869
Source: RNAcentral
CUUUCCAAAGAUGGAUGCAAAUGCUGGGAAAGCAAGAGUUGAAUUGCUAGCCAUGAGGAAAACGUAAGCCUGAGCUGUUUGCUGGCCAUCUUUGCUUCCACAUGGGGAUGGCCUGCCUGGAAAUGAAGCCACACAGAGAAAACAGAAGAGCAGUGAAGAGAAGGGUAAAAGGAGAGAUCCCAUGACAUGAUUUGCACUCUUAGAUCCAGUUAUGCCUGAUGCAGGACCCACCCCUUGGACUUCCCAUUUCCAGGAGCUAAAACUAGACUGAGUUGAGUUUCUGUCACUGACAGUUGACAGAAAAUAUCAACAAUCCAGCCACAUGGAGCCUCAUGGCAGUACCACUAACCCUGGUCACCACAUGAAUACUGACCAGAGGCAUUUCACCUGAAUCAACUGUUUGUGUUCUUAACUCCAUCUCCUCAUCUGCUUCCUGGAAGACCCAACUGACAUAGAUGGUUACAAGAAAUGAUUUCCUCCUUAUAAAACUCUAGAUGUCAAUGUGAUCUUUCACAAGCACACUGAAAAAUUCACACCGUGGAAAAGAACUAAAGUCCCAUCCUAAUUCAUCAGAGCCUUCUGUUUCCUGUAACAAAGAAGAACUCACAAGAUCAGGAUUCCAAGCUUCUUGUAUAGAAGAUACCUAAAAAGUGUUUGCUGAAUGAAGAAAUAAAGGAUUGCUCAGGCACCACUGGCACUUUAAGUUGUUCAGCAAGUACUCGUGCCUCUUAAGAACUGGCCAAGGGCCGGGCGUGGUGGUUCAUGCCUGUAAUCCCAGCAUUUUGGGACGCCGAGGCGGGCAGAUCACGAAGUCAGGAGUUCGAGACCAGCGUGGCCAACGUGGUGAAACCCCAUCUCUACUAAAAAUACAAAAACUUAGCCGGGUGUGGUGGCCUGCGCCUGUAGUCCCAGCUACUCGGGAGGCUGAGGCACAAGAAUUGCUUGAACCCACGAGGAGGAGCUUGCAGUAAGCCGAGAUCGCGCCAUUGCACUCCAGCCUGGGCAACAGGGCAAGACUCUGUCCUGAAAGAAAAAAAAAAAAAAAAAAAAAAAGAACUGGCCGAGGUCUUAGCUGGAGCACUCUCUCUACCCUGCAUGUUUGACUGCAUUUCUGUCCAUUUUCAAUCCGUUUUGGUUAUACGUUUUUUCACACAGGUCUGUUGAACUUAGAACACCGAAGGCCUGUGUAUUUUCAUGGCUCACAGCUCAUGUUGUGUUGACCUGCCCCACUGUGGUUAAUGUUUAGCCCCUAAACCACCAGCUGAAUGUCCUUAAAUCUGAAAGAAUAAUGAACACACGCCAACAGAUAGCUUAGGUUUAUUUGGUGACUUGCGCCACAUACUUUGCGAAUAUCAUCUCAGUCAUCCUUUUAGCAUCUCUCUCAGGCACAUACUCUCCUCUGUGGUGGCUCAUGCCGGUAAUCCCAGCCCUUUGGGAGGCCGAGGCGGGCAGAUCACUUGAGGCAAGGAGUUCGAGACCAGCCUGGCCAACACGGUGAAACCCCAUCUCUACUAAAAAUACAAAAAUUAGCCGGCUAUGGUGGCAUGCGCCUGUAAUCCCAGCUGCUCGAGAGGCUGAGGCAGGAGAAUCAUUUGAACCCAGGAGGCAGAGGUUGCAGUGAGCCUAGACUGCACCAUUGCACUUCAGCCUGGGUGAGACCCCAUCUCAAAUCAAUCAAUCAAUCAAUCAAUCAAUCAAUCAAUAAGGGAAAAGCUAUCACACAGCAGAAUACAGUCCAAGGGUAACUACUGAAGGGCCAGAUCAAGGAGCAAAGUCUAUCAUGUAUCAACCUUUACAGUGUCCCCAAGGGUCAGCUGUGUAUAGGGGCCCACACAGAAUUUGGAAUCCAAAUACAUCUCUGGAUCCCCAGGCCUGUGUUUGACUCGCCAGGUAGUAAUGAGAUGUCUCCAUUUUCUGCAGGCUGAAUGAUUCCCUCAGAGCAGAAGUAUAAGCAUAUUUAUUGUUUUUCCUUCUAUCAUAAACAGUUAUUAGUUGUGGCCCUUUCUCCCUUCCAAAUAGGUGCCCAAAUUUCUGGAAGUGGAAAGGGCCCAACUUUCCCAUAUCAGGGGGUGGGCCCCACUGGGCGUGAGCCAAUCAGUGUCUUCUGUCCUGUGAGCUCCCGAUUUAUGCUGGUCUAUAACCUGAGAUGGCCUUCUCAGGAUGGACCUCCAGGGAUUGCUGGAACUUGGACUCUUGUCAGCCUGGUAAAUGGUAUGUCUUAGAUCUGCUGCAGCCGUCGUGGAAAACUUGAAGCUGCCAGGAGAGAGGGGUUCCAACAUGUGGUGGCUAAAGAAUGAAUCCAACUCAAAGGAAGCAGAGCCAAGAAAUGGAUCCAUGCUGUUUGAAUCUUGGAUCAAAUUGUGCCUGGAUCUCCAGUGAGACAAUAAAUUCCUGUAUUACUCAAGCCUAUUUGAGAUUGUUUUCUUUCACUUGAAACAUUAAACUUUUAAAUUGAUACACCCUAGUUAAAUUAUAAACUGUGUGACAGCAGGGACUGUGUCUCUCUCUUUUUUUUCUUUCUUUUUUUUUUGUUUUGAAACAGAGUUUCACUACCGUCACCCAGGCUGGAGUG